GGUUAAGCGACUAAGCGUACACGGUGGAUGCCCUGGCAGUCAGAGGCGAUGAAGGGCGUGCUAAUCUGCGAUAAGCGCCGGUAAGGUGAUAUGAACCGUUAUAACCGGCGAUACCCGAAUGGGGAAACCCAGUGUGAUUCGUCACACUAUCAUUAACUGAAUCCAUAGGUUAAUGAGGCGAACCGGGGGAACUGAAACAUCUAAGUACCCCGAGGAAAAGAAAUCAACCGAGAUUCCCCCAGUAGCGGCGAGCGAACGGGGAGGAGCCCAGAGCCUGAAUCAGCAUGUGUGUUAGUGGAAGCGUCUGGAAAGGCGCGCGAUACAGGGUGACAGCCCCGUACACAAAAAGCGCAUGUGCUGUGAGCUCGAUGAGUAGGGCGGGACACGUGGUAUCCUGUCUGAAUAUGGGGGAAAAUUAUCCUCCAAGGCUAAAUACUCCUGACUGACCGAUAGUGAACCAGUACCGUGAGGGAAAGGCGAAAAGAACCCCGGCGAGGGGAGUGAAAAAGAACCUGAAACCGUGUACGUACAAGCAGUGGGAGCCCCACCACCAAAGCAUUCUCUGGUGUUGAAGGCCCUGCAAAGCAGCAUCGCGGUGGCGGAGCGUCGUUUGCGACGCCCAACACACAAAACAAGCGGUGAGUGCUUUGGGGUGGGGUGACUGCGUACCUUUGUAUAAUGGGUCAGCGACUUAUAUUCUGUAGCAAGGUUAACCGAAUAGGGGAGCCGGAGGGAAACCGAGUCUUAAUUGGGCGUUAAGUUGCAGGGUAUAGACCCGAAACCCGGUGAUCUAGCCAUGGGCAGGUUGAAGGUUGGGUAACACUAACUGGAGGACCGAACCGACUAAUGUUGAAAAAUUAGCGGAUGACCUGUGGCUGGGGGUGAAAGGCCAAUCAAACCGGGAGAUAGCUGGUUCUCCCCGAAAGCUAUUUAGGUAGCGCCUCGUGAAUUCAUCUCCGGGGGUAGAGCACUGUUUCGGCUAGGGGGCCAUCCCGGCUUACCAACCCGAUGCAAACUGCGAAUACCGGAGAAUGUUAUCACGGGAGACACACGGCGGGUGCUAACGUCCGUCGUGAAGAGGGAAACAACCCAGACCGCAAGCUAAGGUCCCAAAGUCAUGGUUAAGUGGGAAACGAUGUGGGAAGGCCCAGACAGCCAGGAUGUUGGCUUAGAAGCAGCCAUCAUUUAAAGAAAGCGUAAUAGCUCACUGGUCGAGUCGGCCUGCGCGGAAGAUGUAACGGGGCUAAACCAUGCACCGAAGCUGCGGCAGCGAACGUAUCACUUAAAGCGAUUCAGCGGGUUACGAUUGACGGAGCGAAGCGACGUCAAAGCGUAUACAAAGUCGAGUCGGUUUAAGGAUACGUUCGUUGGGUAGGGGAGCGUUCUGUAAGCCUGCGAAGGUGGCCUGUGAGGGUUGCUGGAGGUAUCAGAAGUGCGAAUGCUGACAUAAGUAACGAUAAAGCGGGUGAAAAGCCCGCUCGCCGGAAGACCAAGGGUUCCUGUCCAACGUUAAUCGGGGCAGGGUGAGUCGACCCCUAAGGCGAGGCCGAAAGGCGUAGUCGAUGGGAAACGGGUUAAUAUUCCCGUACUUGGUGUUACUGCGAAGGGGGGGACGGAGAAGGCUAUGUUGGCCGGGCGACGGUUGUCCCGGUUUAAGCGUGUAGGUGUGUGUUCCAGGUAAAUCCGGUUCACUUUAACACUGAGGCGUGACGACGAGGCACUACGGUGCUGAAGCAACAAAUGCCCUGCUUCCAGGAAAAGCCUCUAAGCAUCAGGUAACAUCAAAUCGUACCCCAAACCGACACAGGUGGUCAGGUAGAGAAUACCAAGGCGCUUGAGAGAACUCGGGUGAAGGAACUAGGCAAAAUGGUGCCGUAACUUCGGGAGAAGGCACGCUGACACGUAGGUGAAGUGAUUUACUCACGGAGCUGAAGUCAGUCGAAGAUACCAGCUGGCUGCAACUGUUUAUUAAAAACACAGCACUGUGCAAACACGAAAGUGGACGUAUACGGUGUGACGCCUGCCCGGUGCCGGAAGGUUAAUUGAUGGGGUCAGCGCAAGCGAAGCUCCUGAUCGAAGCCCCGGUAAACGGCGGCCGUAACUAUAACGGUCCUAAGGUAGCGAAAUUCCUUGUCGGGUAAGUUCCGACCUGCACGAAUGGCGUAAUGAUGGCCAGGCUGUCUCCACCCGAGACUCAGUGAAAUUGAACUCGCUGUGAAGAUGCAGUGUACCCGCGGCAAGACGGAAAGACCCCGUGAACCUUUACUAUAGCUUGACACUGAACAUUGAGCCUUGAUGUGUAGGAUAGGUGGGAGGCUUUGAAGUGUGGACGCCAGUCUGCAUGGAGCCGACCUUGAAAUACCACCCUUUAAUGUUUGAUGUUCUAACGUGAAUUCCGUGAUCCGGGUUGCGGACAGUGUCUGGUGGGUAGUUUGACUGGGGCGGUCUCCUCCUAAAGAGUAACGGAGGAGCACGAAGGUUGGCUAAUCCUGGUCGGACAUCAGGAGGUUAGUGCAAUGGCAUAAGCCAGCUUGACUGCGAGCGUGACGGCGCGAGCAGGUGCGAAAAGCAGGUCAUAGUGAUCCGGUGGUUCUGAAUGGAAGGGCCAUCGCUCAACGGAUAAAAGGUACUCCGGGGAUAACAGGCUGAUACCGCCCAAGAGUUCAUAUCGACGGCGGUGUUUGGCACCUCGAUGUCGGCUCAUCACAUCCUGGGGCUGAAGUAGGUCCCAAGGGUAUGGCUGUUCGCCAUUUAAAGUGGUACGCGAGCUGGGUUUAGAACGUCGUGAGACAGUUCGGUCCCUAUCUGCCGUGGGCGCUGGAGAACUGAGGGGGCUGCUCCUAGUACGAGAGGACCGGAGUGGACGCAUCACUGGUGUUCGGGUUGUCAUGCCAAUGGCACUGCCCGGUAGCUAAAUGCGGAAGAGAUAAGUGCUGAAAGCAUCUAAGCACGAAACUUGCCCCGAGAUGAGUUCUCCCUGAGACUUAGAGUCUCCUGAAGGAACGUUGAAGACGACGACGUUGAUAGGCCGGGUGUGUAAGCGCAGCGAUGCGUUGAGCUAACCGGUACUAAUGAACCGUGAGGCUUAACCUU
This 3093-nucleotide ribosomal RNA is filed under the name Salmonella enterica subsp. enterica serovar Infantis. RNAcentral describes it as "23S ribosomal RNA". It matches the Rfam family "Bacterial large subunit ribosomal RNA". The record is from RNAcentral. Lineage: Bacteria; Pseudomonadati; Pseudomonadota; Gammaproteobacteria; Enterobacterales; Enterobacteriaceae.